GUCUGAAGCCAUACCACCCUAAAUGUGCCCAAUCUCAUCUGGUCUCAGAAGCUAAGCAGGGUCGGGCCUGAUUAAGUACUUAGAUGGGAGACAAAUUGUCAAAAGCGGCUACUCAGAGA
This 119-nucleotide ribosomal RNA is filed under the name Castor canadensis (American beaver). Lineage: Eukaryota; Metazoa; Chordata; Mammalia; Rodentia; Castoridae. The record is from RNAcentral.